This 118-nucleotide ribosomal RNA is filed under the name Sinocyclocheilus grahami. Lineage: Eukaryota; Metazoa; Chordata; Actinopteri; Cypriniformes; Cyprinidae. The record is from RNAcentral.
UACAGCAGUCAUAUCACCCUGCAGCCCAAGACUGGUUGCCCACUGAAGCUAAGCAGGGCUGAGCCUGGUCAGAACAUGGAUGGGAGACCUCCUGGGAAAAACUAGGUUGCUGCUGGAA